RNAcentral lists this ribosomal RNA (468 nucleotides) under uncultured bacterium. Its description in RNAcentral is "partial 16S ribosomal RNA". It matches the Rfam family "Bacterial small subunit ribosomal RNA", at positions 28 to 507 of the family's 1533-position model. The record is from RNAcentral.
GACGAACGCUGGCGGCGUGCUUAACACAUGCAAGUCGAACGGAAAGGCCCUGCUUUUGUGGGGUGCUCGAGUGGCGAACGGGUGAGUAACACGUGAGUAACCUGCCCUUGACUUUGGGAUAACUUCAGGAAACUGGGGCUAAUACCGGAUAGGAGCUCCUGCUGCAUGGUGGGGGUUGGAAAGUUUCGGCGGUUGGGGAUGGACUCGCGGCUUAUCAGCUUGUUGGUGGGGUAGUGGCUUACCAAGGCUUUGACGGGUAGCCGACCUGAGAGGGUGACCGGCGACAUUGGGACUGAGAUAGGGCCCAGACUCCUACGGGAGGCAGCAGUGGAGAAUAUUGCACAAUGGGCGGAAGCCUGAUGCAGCAACGCCGCGUGCGGGAUAACGGCCUUCGGGUUGUAAACCGCUGUCGACUGAGACGAAGCGUGAGUGACGGUAAUGGGUAAAGAAGCACCGGCUAACUACGUG